Molecule: long non-coding RNA, 352 nt
Filed under: Equus caballus (horse)
Lineage: Eukaryota; Metazoa; Chordata; Mammalia; Perissodactyla; Equidae
Description: lncRNA (ENSECAG00000055478.1)
Source: RNAcentral
UGGACUUUUAUUAUAUGAAAUUAAAACUGAUAUGAAACGAAAAUUUGGGAGUCUGAAUCAUAGUUCAUCUAAAUUGGCAAAAUUCAUAACAACAUUCUCUGCCACAUCAAGUAAACUCUCGUCUCUGUAUCAAGAGGCAAAGCUGAGCAAGAAUGGAGUGCGAGGGUAAAAUCUACUUAUGCAUAUUUAAGACAAAACAGUCCAAAAAUAGUGCAGGCAUCAGAAGUUUCCAAACACUUCAGAAAAAAUCUUCAGGUGAAAGAUUCAAUGCACUGAGUGAUGGGCUCAUCAUGAAGCUGAGGAAGAUGGAGCCAAGCAGGCAGAAGAAUUGCUACAGUCAAAGUCCACACAG